Molecule: long non-coding RNA, 1491 nt
Organism: Myxocyprinus asiaticus (Chinese sucker)
Lineage: Eukaryota; Metazoa; Chordata; Actinopteri; Cypriniformes; Catostomidae
Exons: 5
Source: RefSeq, a predicted model, not a curated record
UUCAACAAAUAACAUGCAAUCUUCAUGUUUCAUAAUCUUUUAUGACAAGCUCAAGUACAGAUUACCCCCGAUUACCCCAUAAUGUGCAGAUUACCUCUUACACAUUUAACCAGACUGACAUACACGUUUGUCUUUCUGUAUUAUGCAUUCUCAAACAUGAACUGUCUAGACAUCUUUUGUCUAUAAUGAAGUCUUUCUUUGAACUUGUUCUGGAUCUGUGUAAUUAAACAUUGAACUAGUACUGGUUGACUGUGAACCAGUCGGUUCAGGUGAGGGAGGAAUGGCUGGAAUGGUGCCAGCAUUGUGCAGGAAGUAAGUAUUGUGUGGGUGUUCAGAAUGAACAUAUUUUACAAGAAAUUGGAGUGUAAAGUCAUCAAAGUGUUGAUUGCUGCUUUACCCAUCAUUUAUGUGCGUUUUGUAUUUUUAUGCUUUUGAGAGCAUUACAGGCUUAGUUUAGCAACAGCAAACUCUUGAAAUCAAUUGCGAGUUUAAUCUCCCUUAAAAAGGGUGAACAACAAAUUAGACUGGACAAGCUCUCUCCAGGGCUGCUGUACCUGGAGCAGGUGUGCAGGAUGAUGGAGAACAUUACAAAGCUACAGCAGCAAAAUCAAACUCUGCAGAAGGAGGUGGAGAUCCUGAAGAGUCAGCAUGCUGAAAUUGAGGAAGGGCAAGGUUUGCUCAAGAUAAAUCUUUCGUAUCUGCAAGUGUCUUUUUGAGGAACCUGACAGGAAAGAUCCUAUAGUGGAAAAUUUGCACAUUUACCUCAUUUAAAAGGCAAGAAACACGAAAGGCUGACACAGAAAAUAAAAGCAUUCAGCCUAAGAGGAAAACAAAACUGCCUAACAUCUUCAGGAGCAGAACGAUGACCACACGGUUUUGAAAUUCAUGUCUCAUUGUUGCCCAGUCAACGGCCUCACAAUGGGAAAGCACACCUUCCAAUUAUGUGAGGAUUAUGCUGCACUUACGUAAAACAUUUCUGUCAUAUUUUACAUUGUAGUGUUCAUGUUACUGUGUAUUUACUUCAGUAAGUACUGAGUAAUACUAAUAAACUACAUGUACUUAAUUUGUAUGUAUUUUGUAAAGUCAGCCGGUCAUUAUUGCAGAACAAACCCUGACAGGGUGAUCAGGUUUUGUAUUUAUUUUGCGAUAACAGUUGGCUGACUGUACAAUAUCCCACUUGUUACAAAGCUACUUAAUCAAUAAAUUGUUGGACAUGAAAAAUAUGUAGGAACUGUCAAUUAUACAGUUUAGCUAUUUAGCCAUGUAAUAAUAUUUUUUUUAUAUAUGUAACAUGGUCAUUGUAAUUUAAAGUAUUGCCAUUGCACCUUUCUUAUAACCUUCCAUUUUUCUCACAAAACAAUGGAGUCACUUAAUUUUGUGAUCUCAAUCUCAGUCAGUAUACCUUUGCUGCUAAAAUAAUGAUUUCCUUUAAAAUUGUAAACAUGUUCUCAGAUUUCUGUAUUCAAAAUAGCUCUAUUUUUAAUCAUGUGC